GGAUGCAUUUAGGUUAUUGAUAAUUAAUAAUAUUACUGGCCGUUGCUCAGCCUCUUAAUCAGCGGGUCCUUGGUUCGAGCCCAAGUGCGUCCACCA
This 96-nucleotide transfer RNA is filed under the name Sphingomonas abietis. RNAcentral's name for it is "Sphingomonas sp. PAMB00755 tRNA-OTHER". The record is from RNAcentral. Lineage: Bacteria; Pseudomonadati; Pseudomonadota; Alphaproteobacteria; Sphingomonadales; Sphingomonadaceae.